CCAGACUCCUACGGGAGGCAGCAGUGGGGAAUAUUGCACAAUGGGGGAAACCCUGAUGCAGCGACGCCGCGUGAGUGAAGAAGUAAUUCGUUAUGUAAAGCUCUAUCAGCAGGGAAGAAAAUGACGGUACCUGAGUAAGAAGCCCCGGCUAACUACGUGCCAGCAGCCGCGGUAAUACGUAGGGGGCAAGCGUUAUCCGGAUUUACUGGGUGUAAAGGGAGCGUAGACGGCAGUGCAAGUCUGGAGUGAAAGGCGGGGGCCCAACCCCCGGACUGCUCUGGAAACUAUGUGACUGGAGUGCAGGAGAGGUGAGCGGAAUUCCUAGUGUAGCGGUGAAAUGCGUAGAUAUUAGGAGGAACACCAGUGGCGAAGGCGGCCUGCUGGACAGUAACUGACGUUGAGGCUCGAAAGCGUGGGGAGCAAACAGGAUUAGAUACCCCGGUAAA
RNAcentral lists this ribosomal RNA (446 nucleotides) under uncultured bacterium. RNAcentral describes it as "bacterial SSU rRNA". It matches the Rfam family "Bacterial small subunit ribosomal RNA", at positions 331 to 794 of the family's 1533-position model. The record is from RNAcentral.